GACGAACGCUGGCGGCGUGCUUAACACAUGCAAGUCGAGCGGUAAGGCUCCUUCGGGAGUACACGAGCGGCGAACGGGUGAGUAACACGUGAGCAAUCUGCCCUUCACAUCGGAAUAACCCUGGGAAACCGGGACUAAUACCGGAUACGAUUUCCAGUGGCAUCAUUGGAAAUGGAAAGCUCCGGCGGUGAAGGAUGAGCUCGCGGCCUAUCAGCUAGUUGGUGAGGUAAUGGCUCACCAAGGCACCGACGGGUAGCCGGCCUGAGAGGGUGACCGGCCACACUGGGACUGAGACACGGCCCAGACUCCUACGGGAGGCAGCAGUGGGGAAUAUUGGACAAUGGGCGAAAGCCUGAUCCAGCAACGCCGCGUGAGGGAUGACGGCCU
This 387-nucleotide ribosomal RNA is filed under the name uncultured bacterium. Its description in RNAcentral is "bacterial SSU rRNA". It matches the Rfam family "Bacterial small subunit ribosomal RNA", at positions 28 to 417 of the family's 1533-position model. The record is from RNAcentral.